Molecule: ribosomal RNA, 468 nt
Filed under: uncultured bacterium
Lineage: Bacteria
Description: partial 16S ribosomal RNA
Rfam family: Bacterial small subunit ribosomal RNA
Source: RNAcentral
GACGAACGCUGGCGGCGCGCCUAACACAUGCAAGUCGAACGGAGUCAAGAGGAGCUUGCUUUUCUUGACUUAGUGGCGAACGGGUGAGUAACGCGUGAGUAACCUGCCCUGGAGUGGGGGACAACAGUUGGAAACGACUGCUAAUACCGCAUAAGCCCACGGAUCUGCAUGGAUCUGCGGGAAAAGGAUUUAUUCGCUCUAGGAUGGACUCGCGUCCAAUUAGCUAGUUGGUGAGGUAACGGCCCACCAAGGCGACGAUUGGUAGCCGGACUGAGAGGUUGGACGGCCACAGUGGGACUGAGACACGGCCCAGACUCCUACGGGAGGCAGCAGUGGGUGAUAUUGCACAAUGGGGGAAACCCUGAUGCAGCGACCGCGCGUGGAGGAAGAAGGUUUUCGGAUUGUAAACCCCGGUCGUUAGGGACGAUAAUGACGGUACCUAACAAGAAAGCACCGGCUAACUACGUG